This 224-nucleotide ribosomal RNA is filed under the name Paenibacillus terricola. RNAcentral's name for it is "Paenibacillus sp. PR3 partial 23S ribosomal RNA". It matches the Rfam family "Bacterial large subunit ribosomal RNA", at positions 2694 to 2925 of the family's 2925-position model. The record is from RNAcentral. Lineage: Bacteria; Bacillati; Bacillota; Bacilli; Caryophanales; Paenibacillaceae.
GGGAUGGACGCACCGCUGGUGUACCAGUUGUUCCGCCAGGAGCACCGCUGGGUAGCCAAGUGCGGACGGGAUAAGCGCUGAAAGCAUCUAAGCGCGAAGCCCCCUCCAAGAUGAGAUUUCCCAGUAUGUAAGAUCCCUGGAAGACGACCAGGUUGAUAGGCUCGAGGUGGAAGCGCAGCAAUGCGUGCAGCUGACGAGUACUAAUCGAUCGAGGGCUUAUCCUA